UACGUAGGAUGCAGGCGUUACUCGGAAUUACUGGGCGUAAAGCGUGCGCAGGCGGUCUUUUAAGUCAGAUGUGAAAUCCCCGGGCUUAACCUGGGAACUGCGUUUGAAACUGGAAGGCUAGAGUGUGGCAGAGGGGAGUGGAAUUCCACGUGUAGCAGUGAAAUGCGUAGAGAUGUGGAGGAACACCGAUGGCGAAGGCAGCCCCCUGGGCUAACACUGACGCUCAUGCACGAAAGCGUGGGGAGCAAACAGG
Molecule: ribosomal RNA, 253 nt
Filed under: uncultured bacterium
Lineage: Bacteria
Description: partial 16S ribosomal RNA
Rfam family: Bacterial small subunit ribosomal RNA
Source: RNAcentral